UGUAAAUGUCAUGCAGCAAUUUGCAAGUUCCAAUGAAAAGCCACUUGCCACAUUUGGAUACAGAGUUGCAAGGAACAUAACAGAGGUCAAUAAAAGUCUGAUGAAUGUGAUGGAGGUGAAACUCAUUCCACCUGAAGCCCUCCGUUGUGCCCCGUGCAUAUCCCCCCAUGGACUCUCUCACCAAACUUCUGGGUUUACAGCUGGUGAACUUCAAGGAAAGCAAACUCGGGCUGAGCUGCCAGCACAAGUAUUUCCAAGUCGAGAAAGCUGACGACGUCUGACCUGGUGUGAUUUCCGCCUGACCUGGUGUGAUUUCCCCUGGCUCUCUGGAAUUCUAGAUUUUCCUGGAUCUGCCAAAAGGGAUUUUGUUGUCCUCACCAGUUUGAGCCUUGAAGCUCCAUCUUCCCUUCUCACGUUAGUCAGUGUCAAGGUGUCACAGCACAGCGGAGUCUGAGAAUUCUCGGGUCAGGCGCAGCAUGUGGGCCUUCUGGCUGCACUCUGCGUUGCUGGGGAGCAAUUUGAAACCCAACCCCACCUUCGGGAUGUGAAAUGAGGGGAGUGCACGGAAGGCAACAGGCUUGAUCCUGCCUGCCCCGCUAGGGUCAGUCGGUAAUGAAGUUUUCAGUCUCCCCAUUUUCAUAGCAUAAUGGAGUGUGGGUCAUGAAAUACCUUUAAACAAAGAACCUCCAACCUUUUCCUGGUGUGAAUAAACUUUAAAUUUGCCCAAAGUCAUGGAAUCAAAGAUGUUGGAACCAGAAAGGAGACCUACUGUCACAGAGGUGGCACUGAAGACGCGAUUGUUGAAGCAAGUUGCCCAAGACCCUGCAGUUCAGGGGCAGCAGGGUUCACAUUAGGGCUUUUGCCUCUGUGGGCU
Lemur catta (Ring-tailed lemur) is the source of this 874-nucleotide long non-coding RNA. RefSeq lists it as uncharacterized. The record is from RefSeq and is a predicted model, not a curated record. Lineage: Eukaryota; Metazoa; Chordata; Mammalia; Primates; Lemuridae. The transcript has 3 exons.